Molecule: ribosomal RNA, 397 nt
Filed under: uncultured bacterium
Lineage: Bacteria
Description: bacterial SSU rRNA
Rfam family: Bacterial small subunit ribosomal RNA
Source: RNAcentral
CAAGACUUGACAUCUCCUGAAUAGCCUAGAGAUAGGUGAAGCCCUUCGGGGCAGGAAGACAGGUGGUGCAUGGUUGUCGUCAGCUCGUGUCGUGAGAUGUUGGGUUAAGUCCCGCAACGAGCGCAACCCCUGUCGUUAGUUGCCAUCAUUAAGUUGGGCACUCUAGCGAGACUGCCGAGGUUAACUCGGAGGAAGGUGGGGAUGACGUCAAAUCAUCGUGCCCCUUAUGUCUUGGGCUACACACGUGCUACAAUGGCCGGUACAGAAAGAAGCGAACCCGUGAGGGGGAGCAAAUCUCAAAAACCGGUCCCAGUUCGGAUUGUAGGCUGCAACUCGCCUACAUGAAGCCGGAGUUGCUAGUAAUCGCGGAUCAGCAUGCCGCGGUGAAUACGUUCCC